Molecule: unclassified non-coding RNA, 364 nt
Filed under: air metagenome
Description: partial contains small subunit ribosomal RNA, internal transcribed spacer 1, and 5.8S ribosomal RNA
Rfam family: Eukaryotic small subunit ribosomal RNA (bases 1-46)
Source: RNAcentral
AAGUCGUAACAAGGUUUCCGUAGGUGAACCUGCGGAAGGAUCAUUAUUGAAAUAUGUUUCUAAAUGGGUUGUAGCUGGCUUUAGAGCAUGUGCACGCCUGUUUGGACUUCAUUUUCAUCCACCUGUGCACCUAUUGUAGUCUUUGGUUGGGUUAGGAGGAAGUGGUCAUACUAUCAGCAUCUGCUGGAUAUGAGGACUUGCAUUGUGAAAACUUUGCUGUCCUUUAUGUGAUCAUGAAAUCGCUUUCUCACCGGAGUCUAUGUCAUUCAUUAUACUCUGUCAAAUGUCAUUGAAUGUCUUUACAUGGGCUUGUAUGCCUAUGAAAAUUGUAAUACAACUUUCAGCAACGGAUCUCUUGGCUCUC